GAACAAUGUGGUACAAAGUCAGAACAAUCUGGAACAACUUUCAAAAUUAUAAAUUUCAAAAAGUGGGGUGCUAACUUCAUACACUUAUCGGCGACGCCAUUGGAAUUUACGCAAUUUGACACGUCAACCAAUUAUACACAGCACGCUUCCGCAAAUUCGUAAACACAAUACAGGAAUUGUUGAUUGUAACAUGACGUAAGUUCACAAUGGCGGUCUCAAGUGUGAGAUCCGGAGUAUAAAUAUGCGCUAUAGAAAAUCUCAGAUUCAGUGUGUGCGCGGAUCGGUUUUCGAUUUUACACGAAGUAACUCGCUCUUGCGAAACAUUAAUUGAACAGCAUGAAGAGAUUCGCAUUUCUUAUUCUCGUCUUAUCCGUUGCCGUUAUUGCCGAAAACAAAAAAAACUUAAAAUAUAACAGACUCUUACAGAUAUGUUUACACAAAGCGCAUAUGAUAGAAGCGGAAGUACAGUUUGCACAGAAAAUUCUCAUGAGGAUACCAGACGACAACAUCAUCGAUAACAGUAUGGAAAUUCUCAAAAAAUACGGUUAUUUCGCAGCUUGCAUAGAGGAAGAUAAAGGAAUGAUAAAAGACUCGAAAUUGGUCGUGGACAAAAUAAUGGCAGCCAUAGAGAGGAAUAUUGGCGAUUAUCCCGUUAACAAGGACUUCGUGAAGGAAUGCGUAAACGCGUUAAACGAAGACAGCGAAUUGACUCGAGAGGAGAGAGCGACGGAUAUGGAAAGGUGUAUGAUAGCCGGUUAUAGACAAGGACAAAAAGAAGUGAUUGCUGAAGAUAUGAACAGCUUACUGCAUAGAUGUGGACCCAUCAUACAUUGUUUAUACAAGCGGAUAUGACAGUAGAUAAGUCGCUCGUGAAAAUCAAGCGAAUUACAAACACGAGAACUAAUUGAAAAUGCAUGUAACAUUCCAUGUAAAAAGUACGCGCGUACUGGAAUAUAUAUUAGAUAAUCAAAAAGGUCUUCUCCACGAUAGAGGAAAUGGAUUUUGCUCAGGAAUAUCUCAUGGAGAACCAAGACGACGACAUCGAUAAUAAAACUGAGGAACUUCUCGAGAAAUACGAUUACUACGCAGCCUGCGUAGAGGAAAGCUUGGAAAUAGUUAUUGCCGAUGACAAGAACAGCCUAAAAUAUAACAGACUCUUACAGAUAUGUUUACACAAAGCGCAUAUGAUAGGAGCAGAAAUACAGUUUGCACAGAAAAUUCUCAUGAGAAUAUGACAACAUCAUCGAUAAUACUAAGGAAAUUCUCAAGAAAUACGGUUACUUCGCAGUUUGCGUAGAGGAAGAUAAACGAAUGAUAAAAGACUCGAAAUUGGUCGUGGGCAAAAUAAUGGCAGACAUAGAGAGGAAUAUUGGCGAUUACCCCGUUAACAAGGACUUCGUAAAGGAAUGCGUAAACGCGUAUGAGUAAACCCAAAGCGGGGCAAUAAUAAUUUUAAUCAUUUUCGUGUCUCUUCAUCUAACAUUCCUUUUCAGUUUACUUUAGACAUCCAAUAUUAAUACGUGGUGUUCACGGUUUAUUUUAGAAUUCUGUCCACAAUACAAACCCUUCAAAGACCUAUUUUCUAUAUAAUUUACAUAUCAAAACAAAAUCGCCUCGCUUGCGAAUUUUUCUUCAUGAUAACUUUUGAAGUAUCAUCAUUGCUAGAAAAUUUUUUGUCACAAUUUAGAUUUUUCGUAGAGUAAUUCGAGGUCAAACAUAACUCACUCGUGAAUUUCCUCCAAUAAUAGUUGUAUUACGACAAUUACGAAAAAAAGAUGUGUUCUUCUUUCUUCGCGAAUUAAACUCUGAGCUUAACGAAGAGCAAACAAACUCGAUAUAGUAAUUCGAAGGAUGACUCUCUCGCGGAUUUUCCGCGACGUGUCCUUGAAUUACGGAGCAUUCGAGAGAGAGAGAGGUGAUUUUCACAAGCUAGAUUUCAGGGUGGAUAAAGUCACAUCAGUUGAUAAAAUAAUUUGCAGACAAGGACGACUCGCUCGCGACGCAAAUUUGUGCGCGUGGCGCUUUUCCGCCACAGUAAUUUCCGCAAGCGCGCAAGAACGGCGUUAAUCAUGCCAAUUCAUGAUAUCAAUCGAAUUUUAAUAUCCCUCGCCUCAUAAAACUUAUUGAUUAUAAUUGCUACGUGAGAUUCGGGACGCGCAAAGCAUAAAGAAACGUGCGAGUACGACUGACAAAGUGCGAAAAUCGCGCAAAAAAAAUAAACAAAAAUACUUGAAAAUAUUUUUAAAGAAUAAUACUAAAUGAAUAUGUUUCUAUUUUAUACAUGUUAUUAAAUAACAUUUACAUUCAUACAAAUAAUAUAUAAUUAUUUUGUACAGCACAUACUACUUGUAACACUUGCAUGUUUUAUAAUACAUAAUCUAAUAUAAAAAUAAAAAUAUUUUGAUAAAAUGUUGUUGUGUGGAAUUAUAGGCCAAAAUUUUUGUUAGACCAAGAUUUUCGUUUUCAAAUAACUGAAUUUUUUAGCUUUGUCAUUUAUCUCUCGUUA
RNA transcript from Odontomachus brunneus, 2506 nucleotides. RefSeq lists it as uncharacterized. Lineage: Eukaryota; Metazoa; Arthropoda; Insecta; Hymenoptera; Formicidae. The transcript has 9 exons. The record is from RefSeq and is a predicted model, not a curated record.